AAAUAAGGGGUAAUUGGGGUGUUGAUUGGAAGCAGAACACAGAUGGCUAUUGACAUCUGUAAUGAGAUUAAGGAAGAUGGCGAUGGGAUGAGGUUUUGGGGUGACGGGGAGAGGUAAUUAGGUAAGGUUAGGUGUCAUCUUGCAAAGUUAAAAUGUCUCUCCCCAUUCUCUCCCAUCCAUCUCUCUCUCCCUGCCACUUCCGCCUUGUUAAUUUAAUUGAUUUGAUUUCCAGUGUCCCUUGUUAUCUCUCUCACUCUCUACUCUGUCUCAUUCCUCUCCCACUCUCUCCUCCAUCUGUCUGUCUGUCUGUCUGUCUCAUUCCUCUCCUGCUCUCUCCUUCCCUGUCUGUCUGUCUGUCUCGUUCCUCUCCUGCCCUCUCCUCCCUCUCUCUGUCUGUCUCGAUACUCUCCUGCUCUCUCCUCUCUCUGCCUGUCUGUCUCAUUCCUCUCCUGCUCUCUCCUCCCUCUGUCGGUCUGUCUCAUACCUCUCCUGCUCUCUCUUCCCUCUGUCGGUCUGUCUUAUUCCUCUCCUGCUCUCUCCUACCCUGUCUGUCUGCCUGUCUGGCUCUCUCCUCCCUCUGCCUGUCUGUCUGUCUGUCUCAAUCCUCUCCUGCUCUCUCCUCCCUCUGUCGGUCUGUCUGUCUAUCUCAUUCCUCUCCUGCUCUCUCCUCCCUCUGUCUGUCUGUCUCAUUCCUCUCCUGCUCUCUCCUCCCUCUGCCUGUCUGUCUGUCUGUCUCAUUCCUCUCCUGCUCUCUCCUACACUGUCUGUCUGCCUGUCUGUCUCAUACCUCUACUGCUCUCUCCUCCCUCUGUCGGUCUGUCUCAUACCUCUCCUGCUCUCUCCUCCCUCUGCCUGUCUGUCUCAUUCCUCUCCUGCUCUCUCCUCCCUCUGCCUGUCUGUCUCAUUUCUCUCCUGCUCUCUCCUCACUUUGUCGGUCUGUCUCAAUCCUCUCCUGCUCUCUCCUCCCUCUGCCUGUCUGUCUCAUUCCUCUCCUGCUCUCUCCUCCCUCUGCCUGUCUGUCUCAUUCCUCUCCUGCUCUCUCCUCCCUCUGUCGGUCUGUCUCAUACCUCUCCUGCUCUCUCCUCCCUCUGUCGGUCUGUCUCAUUCCUCUCCUGCUCUCUCCUCCCUCUGUCGGUCUGUCUCAUUCCUCUCCUGCUCUCUCCUCCCUCUGCCUGUCUGUCUCAUUCCUCUCCUGCUCUCUCCUCCCUCUGCCUGUCUGUCUCAUUCCUCUCCUGCUCUCUCCUCCCUCUGUCGGUCUGUCUCAUUCCUCUCCUGCUCUCUCCUCCCUCUGCCUGUCUGUCUCAUUCCUCUCCUGCUCUCUCCUCCCUCUGUCGGUCUGUCUCAUUCCUCUCCUGCUCUCUCCUCCCUCUGCCUGUCUGUCUCAUUCCUCUCCUGCUCUCUC
RNAcentral lists this long non-coding RNA (1402 nucleotides) under Oncorhynchus mykiss (rainbow trout). RNAcentral describes it as "lncRNA (ENSOMYG00000062481.1)". The record is from RNAcentral. Lineage: Eukaryota; Metazoa; Chordata; Actinopteri; Salmoniformes; Salmonidae.